This 1326-nucleotide long non-coding RNA is filed under the name Sorghum bicolor (sorghum). RNAcentral's name for it is "long non-coding RNA (SBIC_LNC008247)". The record is from RNAcentral. Lineage: Eukaryota; Viridiplantae; Streptophyta; Magnoliopsida; Poales; Poaceae.
ACCAAAAAGAUGCAUGAUGGAAAUGAUGAACAGUUGCUCUGUUUGCUUACUUUCAAGUACCUAGCUUUUAUAUUAAAGUUUUUCUAGGAAUUACUAAAACUAAAAUUUAAUAUCUACGGGAAGCAUGAACCUAAAACUAAAGUCUAGGUAAGAGAAAGGCAUGAUAUAAAGUUUGAGCUACUGUUUAUCUUGUUUCUACUACACUAAGUUCUAUAGAUUAAUUUUGAAAACUUGCAAAUCACAUGAUAAGUUCCUAGCAUGAUGAAAAAUUCGUACCACAGCCAUACUUGCUAUAACAUCUUUUGCUACUUAUAUUCACAAUGAGUUUGAUCGAGCUGUGUAGGCCCUUUGGAGCUUUUCAUGUGGUUAAAUUAAGAUAUUCACUUGCACAUAUCUACAACACCAUCCACCACCAUUCAUUAAAAUUGCUAAAAAUAUUAUCACUCACUGUCCCAAGUGUUGUUAUUCUCUCUCUCCAAAAAGAUUCAUUGCAGAAGAGGCAUGGGUUAUGCAAAAAUAUGCGAGGAAAUAAAAAGGGGCAAGUGCAAGGAACCUUGAAAAAGAAAGAAAAAGAGUGAGACGAGACGUAAAAAUGGACAAGUGUCCGGAGUAGAAUUAGGGUUACAAAGAUGCCCACCUGAGCGGAAAAAAUGGACAAGUGUCCGACAGUAGAAUUAGGGGUAUUCGCCACCCACCUGAAAAAAAGAAGAAAAGAGAAAAGAAAAAGAUAGCCCAUGCUCUCCCAAAGCACAGAUCAAAGAGGCGGAUAGAUAGCAAUAUGAGGAGCAAUGAGAAGUAAGUUUCAUCAUUACUACCAUUUUCUCCACCACACAUGCACACCUUGAUUUAAUUACAUGUUGAGUUCCUUUGGAUCCAUGGCUCGAUUAGACAACAUAUGUAUGAGCUGUUUUUCACACCUAUGAGCUCCACAUAAACAUUCCCUUAUUUAUAGGUAAGAGACAUUUUUGGUAAGGAUCCACAAAUACCAUAUAUAGAGAGAUUUGAGAGUAGCAUAGAUGGGAACUCUGAGCUUUAUUUUUGAAAACGUAUGCAAAACUCCAGAACAAAGGUGAAGUAUAGAUAGGAAGAAUAGUGCUUGACUUAAUUAUUUUGUCUUUCGAUUACUUAAGACUUAAGUGCAGGUACUAAGCUCCAUGACACUUCACUCUAGUCUAGGAGAAUUUUUUAUGUGAAAGCAUGUGUGCCUGUCAGGAAAGAAAACAUCGAAGCAACUCCUGAUCCAUCUGUGUUUAGCUGUUUGCUUAGGGACGAGCAAAGGGUAAGCUUGGGGGAGUUUGUUGACGGUCCUUAAGUACUAAAUUUAAC